GACGAACGCUGGCGGCGUGCCUAACACAUGCAAGUCGAACGGAAAGUUAGCAAUAACUUUUCGUGGCGAACGGGUGAGUAACGCGUGGGCAACCUGCCCUUCAGACGGUGACAACAUUCCGAAAGGAGUGCUAAUACCGGAUACGACCUUUAGACCGCAUGGUUUAAAGAAGAAAGGUGGCCUCUAUUUAUAAGCUACCGCUGAAGGAUGGGCCGGCGUCUGAUUAGCUAGUUGGUGGGGUAAAGGCCUACCAAGGCGACGAUCAGUAGCCGGUCGGAGAGGAUGAACGGCCACACUGGGACUGAGACACGGCCCAGACUCCUACGGGAGGCAGCAGUGGGGAAUCUUCCGCAAUGGGCGAAAGCCUGACGGAGCAACGCCGCGUGAGUGAAGAAGGUCUUCGGAUUGUAAAGCUCUGUUUAAAGGGACGAAUGGUCAGAUUGUGAAUAAUGAUUUGACAUGACGGUACCUUUGGAGGAAGCCACGGCUAACUACGUGCCAGCCGCCGCGGUAA
Molecule: ribosomal RNA, 514 nt
Filed under: uncultured bacterium
Lineage: Bacteria
Description: partial 16S ribosomal RNA
Rfam family: Bacterial small subunit ribosomal RNA
Source: RNAcentral